Molecule: ribosomal RNA, 542 nt
Filed under: uncultured Bacteroidota bacterium
Lineage: Bacteria; Pseudomonadati; Bacteroidota
Description: bacterial SSU rRNA
Rfam family: Bacterial small subunit ribosomal RNA
Source: RNAcentral
UAAGGAAUAUUGGACAAUGGCCGCAAGGCUGAUCCAGCCAUGCCGCGUGCAGGAUGAAGGUGCUCUGCAUUGUAAACUGCUUUUGUUUGGGAAUAAACCCCUGGUUUCUACCGGGGCUGAAUGUACCAAAAGAAUAAGGGUCGGCUAACUUCGUGCCAGCAGCCGCGGUAAUACGAAGGACCCAAGCGUUAUCCGGAUUUAUUGGGUUUAAAGGGUGCGUAGGCGGAUUAUUAAGUCAGUGGUGAAAGCCUACAGCUUAACUGUAGAAUUGCCAUUGAUACUGAUGAUCUUGAGUAUGAUUGAGGUGGGCGGAAUGUGUCAUGUAGCGGUGAAAUGCUUAGAUAUGACACAGAACACCGAUUGCGAAGGCAGCUCACUAAGCCAUAACUGACGCUGAUGCACGAAAGCGUGGGGAGCAAACAGGAUUAGAUACCCUGGUAGUCCACGCCCUAAACGAUGAUCACUCGAUGUGUGCGAUAUACUGUACGCGUCUGAGCGAAAGCAUUAAGUGAUCCACCUGGGGAGUACGACCGCAAGGUUGA